GGCAUGGUGGCUUAGUGGUUAGCACGUUUGCCGCGCAUCUCUGGGGGGUUGGGGGUUUGAAUCCCGCCUCUGCCC
Non-coding RNA from Pangasius djambal, 75 nucleotides. Lineage: Eukaryota; Metazoa; Chordata; Actinopteri; Siluriformes; Pangasiidae. The record is from the annotation of a GenBank genome assembly.